AGUUUUGAUUUAUGUGAUUCGAGGUUUUUUGUUUUGUUUUUGUUUUUGGUUUUGAUAAUUGAAUUGAUGAGCGUAGGAGUGUAGAUCAGGGUGAAUUGGAGGUUCAUGCAACGAAUGGAAUUGGUUUUAGUUUCGUGGAUAGUGAAAUUUAUAGGAAUCUAAAUCAAGAAAGGAAAGGAAAGAUCGGGUGAAGAAUGGGGGUGGAUGAAUUACUCGAUUGUUGACAUCAGUGAGCUGGUUGACCAGAAAUCUAUGAUUGCAUAAUUUACGGCCGUUUAGUAAUGUUUCCUGUUUUGUGUUUUCUGAGUUAAAAUGGGAAGAGGAGGAAAUAAAAGAGAGGAGCGACAUAGAAGAAAGAAUAUACUGUUUAGAAUUGAUUUUGGAUGCUGAGGAUGAUUUAUUGACACCACUUUUAUCUCUUUUUUGUGAAAUUUCCAUUCUCAAUUGAAGCCUUUCUCUUGAUUUAAUUGUAUAUGACUUUGGAAGCUCCUGAGUCCACCUGUUUGGCACUUUAACAAUUUUUUGUUUCACACCAAUCUUCUUACUAUCAAGGCUGGAACGCAGGAAUAAACAUCUUCUACUGUAUUGUCAACUAAGAAACAUUCACAUGGUCCUUCAACUUGUUUUUAAAAUCUCACGCAGAACAUCAACUGCCCUGGGAGAACUGGGACUCUGAUUGGUUCUAACACGCAGAGUACGUGACCUAGACUUUACCGGAUGGUAUCAUACCCAGUGGAUUUGAAUGAACAGAAAUUAUUCCUUAUCGAUGGCUGUAUCUUGGAUCUGAAAUCAAGAGCCACUUGAAAAUUUUCAUCAAGUAUCCUUCAACCAUGAAUUGACAAAGUCUUUAAAGAUAAUUAACGUGAUUAUUGCUGUAUCAUUCUAAUUCAAUCUCCAUUUCCUGCUGAUGAACUCCAGAAUCACCUCUGUUGAUGGCCUUCCAUAGAGUUAGAACCUCGUCAAUUGAGAAGGGAUUCUAGGAUUAGAUUUCUUCAGCUACAUAGUUGGCAUGGGUGGUGCUGGUCUUUCAAACAGAGAGGCAAACGUUUAUGGGCACAGAGGCCUUUGCCAGUGUUUGCAUUUUUCCGCUUGCCAUUAAAGCAGCUUCUAAAGAGUUGGAACGGAUUGAUAAUGUGUUCUAUACCUAUGCAAAUACAACUUCUGGUUUGAUUGACCCAGAGGGAAUCGAACGUCUUUGUUCAGAUAUGGAAGUUGACCCUACAGAUGUAAGGGUCUUGAUGCUUGCCUGGAAAAUGAAGGCUGAAAAACAGGGAUUCUUUACCCUGGAAGAAUGGCGAGUUGCACUUAAAGCAUUAAGGGCGGAUAGUUUAAGUAAAUUAAAGAAGGCACUUCCAGAGCUAGAGAAAGAGGUCAGGAGGCCAUCAAACUUUGUGGAUUUCUAUUCCUAUGCAUUCAGAUAUUGCUUAACAGAGGAGAAACAGAAGAGCAUAGAUAUAGAGAGCAUAUGCCAAUUAUUACAUAUUGUUUUAGGAUCUCAAUACCAAGCGCAGGUUGACUCAUUUGUAGAGUACUUAAAGACUCAGAAUGAUUACAAAGUCAUAAACAUGGAUCAAUGGAUGGGCUUUUACCGAUUUUGUGAUGAGAUAAGUUAUCCAGACCUUAGCAACUACGAUCCUGAACUUGCAUGGCCUUUGAUCCUUGACAAUUUUGUUGAAUGGGUGCGAGAAAGGCAGAGCUAGAGCUGAUGAUUCUUGGUCAACUUCAGUCUCUGCUGAAAACAACAAUUCCUCCUGAAUGAAUUGGCCUUUUUGCAGGACAUUGGACGGCCCCAUGGAUUUUAUUUCGGUUCUCUUUUUCUCUUCCAAAUAUGAAUAGCUUCCUCAAAGUGCUUGGCUUUGGAAAUUGUAUGUUUGUGAUAUGAUAGUUCUUGGGAAAGCCUUGUUAAAUGUCACAGGGGCUUCCAUAAUUAAUUCUGUUGAAUAUUCAAUUAAUUGCUCUAAGUUUCUUGAGCGAAUGGUGUUAAGGCCGCUGAACUAUGCUAUCUUAGUGUGAAGCGAUUGUAUCAUGAAUGUGUGAUAGAAUAAAAGGCACUUUUGAAUUUCCUGCCAAUAA
Rosa rugosa (rugosa rose) is the source of this 2073-nucleotide RNA transcript. RefSeq lists it as uncharacterized. Lineage: Eukaryota; Viridiplantae; Streptophyta; Magnoliopsida; Rosales; Rosaceae. The record is from RefSeq and is a predicted model, not a curated record. The transcript has 10 exons.